Molecule: ribosomal RNA, 497 nt
Filed under: uncultured bacterium
Lineage: Bacteria
Description: partial 16S ribosomal RNA
Rfam family: Bacterial small subunit ribosomal RNA
Source: RNAcentral
GAUGAACGCUGGCGGCGUGCCUAAUACAUGCAAGUCGAGCGAACGGACGAGAAGCUUGCUUCUCUGAUGUUAGCGGCGGACGGGUGAGUAACACGUGGAUAACCUACCUAUAAGACUGGGAUAACUUCGGGAAACCGGAGCUAAUACCGGAUAAUAUUUUGAACCGCAUGGUUCAAAAGUGAAAGACGGUCUUGCUGUCACUAAUAGAUGGAUCCGCGCUGCAUUAGCUAGUUGGUAAGGUAACGGCUUACCAAGGCAACGAUGCAUAGCCGCCCUGAGAGGGUGAUCGGCCACCCUGGAACUGAGACACGGUCCAGACUCCUACGGGAGGCAGCAGUAGGGAAUCUUCCGCAAUGGGCGAAAGCCUGACGGAGCAACGCCGCGUGAGUGAUGAAGGUCUUCGGAUCGUAAAGCUCUGUUAUUAGGGAAGAACAUAUGUGUAAGUAACUGUGCACAUCUUGACGGUACCUAAUCAGAAAGCCACGGCUAACUACGUG